This 514-nucleotide long non-coding RNA is filed under the name Brassica napus (rape). RNAcentral describes it as "long non-coding RNA (BNAP_LNC019365)". Lineage: Eukaryota; Viridiplantae; Streptophyta; Magnoliopsida; Brassicales; Brassicaceae. The record is from RNAcentral.
UUAUCAAUUAAUUUAGUAAAACUUCAUUUGCUCCCAAAAUUAGUUGACAAACCACAAUAAAAUCGUUAUUCUAGAUAAACGGAGACAGCAAACGUUCGAAACCUCUCUCACCAUCAUCAUAUGUUAAUUUAUGAUACAACUAUGCAUUAAAACAAUAUUGUCAUAUUUUUUGAAUUUUUUUCAAAACCUCUACAAAAUAUUAAGUUUUUCGGUAAAAGGUUAAUAUACUGAAGUCUAUAAUAUUUAGUGUUAUUUUAAAUUUUCAAACCACAUUCUACAUUUGUAUUAAUGUAUUCUAAGCUCUCUUACAAGGUACGUUGGCAUCGUCCUAUUUUUUAUCAAUUAAUUUAGUAAAAUUUCAUUUGCUCCCAAAAUUAGUUGACAAACCACAAUAAAAUCGUUAUUCUAGAUACACGGAGACAGCAAAGGUUCGAAACAUCUCUCACCAUCAUCAUAUGUUAAUUUAUGAUACAACUAUGCAUUAAAACAAUAUUGUCAUAUUUUUUUAUUUUUC